GUCCUAGCUGUAAACGAUGGGUACUAGCUUGGGGCCUCCCUGUGUGGUCCCAGGUGAAGCAAAUGUGAUAAGUACCCCGCCUGGGGAGUAUGGUCGCAAGGCUGAAACUCAAAAGGAAUUGACGGGGGCUCACACAAGCGGUGGAGCAUGUGGUUUAAUUCGAAGCAACGCGAAGAACCUUACCUAGGCUUGACAUGCAGGGAUUAGGCCGAUGAGAGUUGGCCGAUUGCCUUCGGGUGUAACCUGCACAGGUGUUGCAUGGCUGUCGU
This 269-nucleotide ribosomal RNA is filed under the name uncultured bacterium. RNAcentral describes it as "partial 16S ribosomal RNA". It matches the Rfam family "Bacterial small subunit ribosomal RNA", at positions 793 to 1055 of the family's 1533-position model. The record is from RNAcentral.